GCCGGGGUGGCGAAACUGGCGAUACGCGGCCGACUUAAAAUCGGUUGUCCCCCUAUGGGGGCGUGCGGGUUCGAGUCCCGCCCCCGGCA
This 89-nucleotide transfer RNA is filed under the name Actinobacteria bacterium 13_1_20CM_4_69_9. RNAcentral describes it as "tRNA-Leu". It matches the Rfam family "tRNA". From Rfam's summary of the family: Transfer RNA (tRNA) molecules are approximately 80 nucleotides in length. Their secondary structure includes four short double-helical elements and three loops (D, anti-codon, and T loops). The record is from RNAcentral. Lineage: Bacteria; Bacillati; Actinomycetota.